AUGAACCCUGCUUCGGCUCCCGGUCCGGACAGCUUGCAUGUCCUUUUUUUUCAGGCUUUCUGGUCUACCAUCAGGGAUGACAUCCUAGCCCUGUUCCUCGAUUUUGCUAGGGGAACCCUUGAUGUAGCUCGCCUUAAUUAUGGGAUUAUUUCCUUGAUCCCGAAAGUCCGAGGGGCUUCGGACAUUAGGCAAUUUCCACCGAUUACGAUCCUUAACGUGAUCUUUCGAAUCCUUACUAAGGGGUACGCCACUAGGGUGGACCUUAUUGUGCCUAGGAUCCAUCAUCCGAACCAAUCGGCCUUCACGAAAGGUAGGUUUAUUCUGGAUGGGAUCCUAGUCCUUCAUGAAAUCCUGCAUGAAGUUAGGCAGAAACGCUUCCAUGCAGUCUUCUUUAAGAUAGACUUUCACAAGGCUUACGACUCAGUGCCCGGUCCUUCCUUCGGGAGGUUAUGUUGA
Molecule: ribosomal RNA, 456 nt
Filed under: Triticum aestivum (bread wheat)
Lineage: Eukaryota; Viridiplantae; Streptophyta; Magnoliopsida; Poales; Poaceae
Description: partial small subunit ribosomal RNA
Source: RNAcentral